UGGGGAAUUUUGGACAAUGGACGCAAGUCUGAUCCAGCCAUGCCGCGUGCGGGAAGAAGGCCUUCGGGUUGUAAACCGCUUUUGUCAGGGAAGAAACGAGUUUCUCUAAUACAGAGACUUAAUGACGGUACCUGAAGAAUAAGCACCGGCUAACUACGUGCCAGCAGCCGCGGUAAUACGUAGGGUGCAAGCGUUAAUCGGAAUUACUGGGCGUAAAGCGUGCGCAGGCGGUUAUAUAAGACAGAUGUGAAAUCCCCGGGCUCAACCUGGGAACUGCAUUUGUGACUGUAUAGCUAGAGUAGGGCAGAGGGGGAUGGAAUUCCGCGUGUAGCAGUGAAAUGCGUAGAUAUGCGGAGGAACACCGAUGGCGAAGGAAAUCCCCUGGGCCUGCACUGACGCUCAUGCACGAAAGCGUGGGGAGCAAACA
RNAcentral lists this ribosomal RNA (427 nucleotides) under uncultured bacterium. Its description in RNAcentral is "bacterial SSU rRNA". It matches the Rfam family "Bacterial small subunit ribosomal RNA", at positions 355 to 774 of the family's 1533-position model. The record is from RNAcentral.